CCUACGGGGGGCUGCAGUGGGGAAUAUUGGACAAUGGGGGGAACCCUGAUCCAGCCAUGCCGCGUGUGUGAAGAAGGCCCUCGGGUUGUAAAGCACUUUCAGUGAGGAAGAACGCCUGGUGGUUAAUACCCAUCAGGAAAGACAUCACUCACAGAAGAAGCACCGGCUAACUCCGUGCCAGCAGCCGCGGUAAUACGGAGGGUGCGAGCGUUAAUCGGAAUUACUGGGCGUAAAGCGCGCGUAGGUGGCUUGAUAAGCCGGUUGUGAAAGCCCCUGGCUCAACCUGGGAACGGCAUCCGGAACUGUCAAGCUAGAGUGCAGGAGAGGAAGGUAGAAUUCCCGGUGUAGCGGUGAAAUGCGUAGAGAUCGGGAGGAAUACCAGUGGCGAAGGCGGCCUUCUGGACUGACACUGACACUGAGGUGCGAAAGCGUGGGUAGCAAACAGGAUUAGAUACCCUGGUAGUC
RNAcentral lists this ribosomal RNA (465 nucleotides) under Vreelandella stevensii. RNAcentral describes it as "partial 16S ribosomal RNA". It matches the Rfam family "Bacterial small subunit ribosomal RNA", at positions 338 to 795 of the family's 1533-position model. The record is from RNAcentral. Lineage: Bacteria; Pseudomonadati; Pseudomonadota; Gammaproteobacteria; Oceanospirillales; Halomonadaceae.